UCUCACUUCUGUAUGUUGGUUUUUUGAGAGGUUAAAGCUGCCAGCAUGAUCUGGUAAGAACAAAAUCCUAUUAUAUUUCAUCUAUAUUUUCUUAUAAAAAGAAGAAAUGAAUUUAAAUUUGAAUUUUUUGUAAAAAAAAAAUGUUGAGGUUUUUAAUUUCCUUCUUUUGGAUUUGAAAAAAAGAAAAUUAAAUUUUUGUAAGGAUUUUAUUUCUUUGAAGAAAAUAUAGAUAGAUAGCUUUGGUUCCAUCAGGUCAUCUAGCAGCUUCAAUCACUCACCAACAAUACACACAAAGGA
Molecule: non-coding RNA, 297 nt
Organism: Solanum lycopersicum (tomato)
Lineage: Eukaryota; Viridiplantae; Streptophyta; Magnoliopsida; Solanales; Solanaceae
Source: RefSeq, marked provisional